GUCCAAGGUCUUUAUCUGGUGCCCGUCACGCAGACCUGGUCGGCUGCCCGCAUGGCUGACCUCAGUCUCCAGCCCCUCGGGAGGGCGAGCUGAUACCGUGUGGCCCAGAGCCCAGGGGAACAAGGACACUGGACUCAGGACGUCCCCGGGCUCAGCGGUGACCUCCCAGCAGCUGAGGACAGAGGCCCAACCUCCCUGGGGCAAGAUUAAACUUUUUAUUCAUGAGGACCCACGCAGCUUCCUGGGUUGGACCUUCCUGCCCCUGUUGCACAAAAGCAGCCCCUCUUCCCUGUUUUGACACAGGCGUCCGUGGGAUCCUGGUGAAUCUUAGCUUGGACUUCAAUGGGACCAUCCCUCGUCCUGUAUAAUGGCCUGAAUUGUGUCCUUUCCAAAUUCAGAGGUUGAAGUGCUGACCCUCAGGACCCCAGAAGGUGGCUGUGUUUGGAGAUGGGCCUUUAAAGAGGUGAUUAAGGACGGGUGGCCCUAAACCUAUAUAAUUGUUGUCCUGAUAAGAAGGGAAAACCAGGAGGACGGCCACAUGAAGACAUGGGGAGGAGAGACGCUGGGUACUCACCAGGAAGAGGCCUCCGGGGGCCCAGCCCUACCCACAUACCUGGGCCCCAGACUUUCAGCCUCCAGGACCAGGGGACACUAAACGCCGUGUGUAAGGCACCUGGCUGGUGGUGCUUUGUCACAGCAACCUGAGCCGACCAGCACUCAGACUCUCACCGGGUCCCUUCACCAGACAAAGGUCACCAUCCCAGGGACCCUCCGUCAAGCAUUGUGAGGAGCAUCUGAGUCCGAUCCAGUGGUUCCCGGAUCGCUCUCUUGGUCCUCCUCCCUCCUGUGUGGUCCUGCCUCUGAAAACAGACCUGUGUUCACCUCCAUGGUGUUCGCCUCUGCCUACCGCCGGUUCUAAAUGUGGAGGCCUCUCACGGACCCACUCCCCUGUGCGUGUCGUGGGGCCCGCUAAUCGUCUGAAAGCGACAGUGUCCUCUUUUAAUUUCUUUUCUUUUCUUCACAGUUGUGUCCAAGGGCGAGGGGGGCCCCCCAAGCACACUCUUUCCUGAGCACGAUAAGUUGGGGGGGUCUAGUGUUUGUGACUCAGAGAGAGUCUACAUGGCUCCUGCUGGCUGUGUCUCCCCCUCACUUGUCCCAGGGAAGGUCACAGCUGCAGCGGGGGCUCCGCGGUGGGGGCCUCUGGCGCCUCAAGCCCCCAGCCCCACUGGAUCAAGCGCUGUGUGAGAGCAGGGACCGUGACCCUGUAUGGAGGCUGCCCUGCCCCCA
This is a non-coding RNA of Leptonychotes weddellii (Weddell seal), 1287 nucleotides long. NCBI's taxonomy places the organism in Eukaryota, Metazoa, Chordata, Mammalia, Carnivora, Phocidae. The record is from RefSeq and is a predicted model, not a curated record.